This 3849-nucleotide small RNA is filed under the name Pongo abelii (Sumatran orangutan). RNAcentral describes it as "retained intron". The record is from RNAcentral. Lineage: Eukaryota; Metazoa; Chordata; Mammalia; Primates; Hominidae.
AGAGGCCAGAGGCUCUGACAAGUGCUUACAGGGUGCCUGCCUGCUCAACCGGUAUUCCUCUGACACCUAUUAGCCAACAGCCCGAACUAGGAGUUUGGCACCAUUCCCAAAAUGGGUGUUCCCAUCCCUGGUGCUAACAGUUGGCGUGCAGCUGCCUCUCAGAGGGCCUUUGUCGGAGGGGUGCGCGGUGAAAGCUACACAGAGCUGCUUGGGGGAGUCAGGGUUCCAGAAAUGGAUUGUUUAUUUCUCUGUUUGCCUGAAGCUUUUUCUCAGUUAAGUUUUCUUUGAAUGCCUCGUUCCAGGCAUGAACCUUAUGGGCAGCAGUAUCCAGGCCAAGGCCCUCCCUCGGGACAGCCACCGUAUGGAGGGCACCAGCCCGGCCUGUACCCACAGCAGCCGAAUUACAAACGCCAUAUGGACGGCAUGUACGGGCCCCCAGCCAAGCGCCAUGAGGGCGACAUGUACAACAUGCAGUACAGCAGCCAGCAGCAGGAGAUGUACAACCAGUAUGGAGGCUCCUACUCGGGCCCGGACCGCAGGCCCAUCCAGGGCCAGUACCCGUAUCCCUACAGCAGGGAGAGGAUGCAGGGCCCGGGGCAGAUCCAAACGCACGGAAUCCCACCUCAGAUGAUGGGCGGCCCGCUGCAGUCGUCCUCCAGUGAGGGGCCUCAGCAGAAUAUGUGGGCAGCACGCAAUGAUAUGCCUUAUCCCUACCAGAACAGGCAGGGCCCUGGCGGCCCUACACAGGCGCCCCCUUACCCAGGCAUGAACCGCACGGACGAUAUGAUGGUACCCGAUCAGAGGAUAAAUCAUGAGAGCCAGUGGCCUUCUCACGUCAGCCAGCGUCAGCCUUAUAUGUCGUCCUCAGCCUCCAUGCAGCCCAUCACACGCCCACCACAGCCGUCCUACCAGACGCCACCGUCACUGCCAAAUCACAUCUCCAGGGCGCCCAGCCCAGCGUCCUUCCAGCGCUCCCUGGAGAACCGCAUGUCUCCAAGCAAGUCUCCCUUUCUGCCGUCUAUGAAGAUGCAGAAGGUCAUGCCCACGGUCCCCACAUCCCAGGUCACCGGGCCACCGCCCCAACCACCCCCAAUUAGAAGGGAGAUCACCUUUCCUCCUGGCUCAGUAGAAGCAUCACAACCAGUCUUGAAACAAAGGCGAAAGAUUACCUCCAAAGAUAUCGUUACUCCUGAGGCGUGGCGUGUGAUGAUGUCCCUUAAAUCAGGUCUUUUGGCUGAGAGUACAUGGGCUUUGGACACUAUUAAUAUUCUUCUGUAUGAUGACAGCACUGUUGCUACUUUCAAUCUCUCCCAGUUGUCUGGAUUUCUCGAACUUUUAGUCGAGUACUUUAGAAAAUGCCUGAUUGACAUUUUUGGAAUUCUUACGGAAUAUGAAGUGGGAGACCCCAGCCAAAAAGCACUUGAUCACAACGCAGCAAGGAAGGAUGAUAGCCAGUCCUUGGCGGACGAUUCUGGGAAAGAGGAGGAAGAUGCUGAAUGUAUUGAUGACGACGAGGAAGACGAGGAGGACGAGGAGGAAGACAGUGAGAAGACAGAAAGCGAUGAAAAAAGCAGCAUCGCUCUGACUGCCCCGGACGCCGCUGCAGACCCAAAGGAGAAGCCCAAGCAAGCCAGUAAGUUCGACAAGCUGCCAAUAAAGAUAGUCAAAAAGAACAACCUGUUUGUUGUUGACCGAUCUGACAAGUUGGGGCGUGUGCAGGAGUUCAGUAGUGGCCUUCUGCACUGGCAGCUCGGCGGGGGCGACACCACUGAGCACAUUCAGACUCACUUUGAGAGCAAGAUGGAAAUUCCUCCUCGCAGGCGCCCACCUCCCCCCUUAAGCUCCGCAGGUAGAAAGAAAGAGCAAGAAGGCAAAGGCGACUCUGAAGAGCAGCAAGAGAAAAGCAUCAUAGCAACCAUCGAUGACGUCCUCUCUGCUCGGCCAGGGGCACUGCCCGAAGACGCAAACCCUGGGCCCCAGACCGAAAGCAGUAAGUUUCCCUUUGGUAUCCAGCAAGCCAAAAGUCACCGGAACAUCAAGCUGCUGGAGGACGAGCCCAGGAGCCGAGACGAGACUCCUCUGUGCACCAUCGCGCACUGGCAGGACUCGCUGGCUAAGCGAUGCAUCUGUGUGUCCAAUAUUGUCCGUAGCUUGUCAUUCGUGCCUGGCAAUGAUGCCGAAAUGUCCAAACAUCCAGGCUUGGUGCUGAUCCUGGGGAAGUUGAUUCUUCUUCACCACGAGCAUCCAGAGAGAAAGCGAGCACCGCAGACCUAUGAGAAAGAGGAGGAUGAGGACAAGGGGGUGGCCUGCAGCAAAGAUGAGUGGUGGUGGGACUGCCUCGAGGUCUUGAGGGAUAACACGUUGGUCACGUUGGCCAACAUUUCCGGGCAGCUAGACUUGUCUGCUUACACGGAAAGCAUCUGCUUGCCAAUUUUGGAUGGCUUGCUGCACUGGAUGGUGUGCCCGUCUGCAGAGGCACAAGAUCCCUUUCCAACUGUGGGACCCAACUCGGUCCUGUCGCCUCAGAGACUUGUGCUGGAGACCCUCUGUAAACUCAGUAUCCAGGACAAUAAUGUGGACCUGAUCUUGGCCACUCCUCCAUUUAGUCGUCAGGAGAAAUUCUAUGCUACAUUAGUUAGGUACGUUGGGGAUCGCAAAAACCCAGUCUGUCGAGAAAUGUCCAUGGCGCUUUUAUCGAACCUUGCCCAAGGGGACGCACUAGCGGCAAGGGCCAUAGCUGUGCAGAAAGGAAGCAUUGGAAACUUGAUAAGCUUCCUAGAGGAUGGGGUCACGAUGGCCCAGUACCAGCAGAGCCAGCACAACCUCAUGCACAUGCAGCCCCCGCCCCUGGAACCACCUAGCGUAGACAUGAUGUGCAGGGCGGCCAAGGCUUUGCUAGCCAUGGCCAGAGUGGACGAAAACCGCUCGGAAUUCCUUUUGCACGAGGGCCGGUUGCUGGAUAUCUCGAUAUCAGCUGUCCUGAACUCUCUGGUUGCAUCUGUCAUCUGUGAUGUACUGUUUCAGAUUGGGCAGUUAUGACAUAAGUGAGAAGGCAAGCAUGUGUGAGUGAAGAUUAGAGGGUCACAUAUAACUGGCUGUUUUCUGUUCUUGUUUAUCCAGCGUAGGAAGAAGGAAAAGAAAAUCUUUGCUCCUCUGCCCCAUUCACUAUUUACCAAUUGGGAAUUAAAGAAAUAAUUAAUUUGAACAGUUAUGAAAUUAAUAUUUGCUGUCUGUGUGUAUAAGUACAUCCUUUGGGGUUUUUUUUUUCUUUUUUUUUUUAACCAAAGUUGCUGUCUAGUGCAUUCAAAGGUCACUUUUUGUUUUUCACAGAUCUUUUUAAUGUUCUUUUCCAUGUUGUAUUGCAUUUUUGGGGGAAGCAAAUUGACUUUAAAGAAAAAAGUUGUGGCAAAAGAUGCUAAGAUGCGAAAAUUUCACCACACUGAGUCAAAAAGGUGAAAAAUUAUCCAUUUCCUAUGCGUUUUACUCCUCAGAGAAUGAAAAAAACUGCAUCCCAUCACCCAAAGUUCUGUGCAAUAGAAAUUUCUACAGAUACAGGUAUAGGGGCUCAAGGAGGUAUGUCAGUCAGUAGUCAAAACUAUGAAAUGAUACUGGUUUCUCCACAGGAAGAUGGUUCCAUUAGGCUGGGAGCAAAAACAAUGUUUUUUAAGAUUGAAAAUACAUACCUGACAACGAUCCGGAAACUGCUCCUCACCACUCCCGUCAUGCCUGCUGUCGGCGUUUGACCUUCCACAUGACAGUUCUUCACAAUUCCUUUAAUCAUUUUUUAAAUAUUUUUUUUACUGCCUAUGGGCUGUGAUGUAUAUAGAAGUUGUACAUUAAACAUACCCU